Ictalurus punctatus (channel catfish) is the source of this 2347-nucleotide long non-coding RNA. The record is from Ensembl. Lineage: Eukaryota; Metazoa; Chordata; Actinopteri; Siluriformes; Ictaluridae.
AGGCGGUGUAAAAAGACGUGUGUGUGUGUGUGUGUGUGCGUGAGAGAGAGAGAGAGAGAGAGAGAGAGACUCACUGUAAAUUGCCAGUAUUUUUUAUAUGCGCUUUAUUUAUAUUCUCUCCUCUCCAUGUUUGUAUUCGGACACUCAGUGUUAUAAGUAAUGUUUGUUAAUCACAGUUCUGUUCCAUGGAAUGCUUUGGGAAUUCUCUACAUGUUUACGGUCACGCCAGUGAAGCUUACUGAACUGAACUGAGCUCAAGACCAGCAGCUGGAACUCCUCCUUUCCUUCUCUGGAUAUCAGUUGAAAGUGAAAGUCAGCAGGUCGUUUCGGGGAAACACAUCGCAUUCUGUUGGUACCGGUUGUUUUGAAAGUACCGAAAGUACAGAGGUUGCGAUUCAUCCGAACCUGAAGGGGGCAGUAAAUACGCGCAAGUGUUUUAGUCGGUCCACAAUUGGUAAAGAAGAACAACUACGCACAAGGGGAAAAACUACAAAAGAUGGCUAUGGCGACAAAUUCAGCUGCUCCCUGUCUCGUUGAGAGGAAAAAAAGGCAAGGGUCGAAUAUGGAAAUACUUCACAUUUGAGGUGGAUAAAAACAAACAUAUAAUUGAUGCUCUGAAGCCAGUGUGCAAACGAUGCCAUCGUACACUUCAAACAAAGGGAGGAAACACCUCGAAUUUGGUGAAGCACCUGAAAGACAGGCACCCCGAUCUCUUCAAAGAAUUCAAGUAUCAGCCAGAGGAGGAUGUCCACUAGGAGAGUCAGGAGCAAAGUCAACAAACAUUAACCUUAAGAGAAGCUUAAAAAGACACAAGAAAUAUGACAAAAACUCAAACGAAGCAAGGAAACUGGAUAGGGCAGUUGCUGAGUUCAUAUGCAUGGAUCAAGUUCCUGUCUACACUGUAGAAAAGCAUAGAUUCCAGCAAAUGCUUCAGCAGUUUAACACCAGAUACCAGCUACCAAGCAGAACUUACUUCAUGUACACAGAGAUCCCCAGAAUAUACACACGAAACCAGAGACCUCAUUUCAGAACAUCUCAAAGAAAAAACAUUUUAUGCCUUCAUACUUAUUAUAUAUCUAUUUUGUAAUUGUUUUUUUUAUUAUGUGACUGUUGCCACUAUUGUUUUUUAUAAUGCUCAAAUGUUUAAAUAAAGGAAUUAAUGUUUAAGUAUUUAUUUAUUUAUUUUUACACAACGUGGUAUCGACUUUGGUAUCGAGUAUCGUGUAUUUUUGCUGGUAUCUGUACCGACUACUAGAGUUUUGGUAUCGUGACAUCCCUAGUUUCUGAUCUGAGUGCAAGUGCAUUGACGAUGUCAUGUUCUGCAGAUGACAGCGGAGGUGCGUGCACUGCUGAGCACCUGAGACUUCAGGGCAGUUGACAAUGCGGCCCUAAGAACAGUGAGGGCCAAACUGUCCCUGACUAUCAAAGAGGCAAAGUGCGCAUACGGCCAGAAAAUCCAUGGUCACUUCAUGCUUAGCGGUGACUCGUGGUGCAUGUGAAAGGGCAUUCAGGCCAUCAGCAACUAUUGGACAUCACCCACCUGUGACUGUGAUAUCUCCCUUCCAGAUGCACUGUACAACCUCUACAUUCAGUUUGAGGCGCAGAAUGAGGUGGCAGCGAGGAAGACCUCCCCUCCUCCCAACAACCAAGUGCUGUGUCGAACCAUGGCUGAUGAGGAAAACUUUACGUAGAGUCAACCCACAGAAGGCUGCUGGACCAGACAACAGUCCGGGCAGACUGCUCAGAGCAUGUGCAGACCAGCUGACAGAUGUUCUCACUGACAUAUUCAACAUCUCCCCGAGCAGCACCAUCGUUCCAACAUGCUUCAAGGCUACCACCAUUGUCCCUGUGCUGAAAAAGUCUUCAGUCUUUCAUCAUCACGCAUCCAUCAUCAUGAAGUGCUUUCAGAGGCUUGUCAUGAGGCACAUCAAGACCCUGCUGACCCGCUCAGUGGACCCACUGCAGUUUGCGUAUUGCCCCAUCUGAUCCAUGGAUGAUGCCAUCGCCACCAUCCUACAGCUGGCCCUCACUCACCUGGACAAAAAGAACACCUAUGUUCAGAUGCUGUUCAUAGACUUCAGUUCAGCCUUCAACACAAUUAUUGCUCAGCACCUGAUUGGAAACCUGAACCUACUGGGCCUGAACACCUCCAUCUGCAACUUGAUCCUGGACUUCCUGACCGGUAGACCUCAGUCUGUGCGGAUUACAGGAUGCACCUGAGCUCAAUUUUGAGUGUCAUGGCAAAGGCUGUGAAUAUUAUGUGUGGUCAUUUAUUUAAUGAGGAAAAGGAUCCAAAAUUACAUAUCUGUGAGUGGCAAAGUAUGAGAACCUUUGUUUUCAGCAUGUG